Molecule: unclassified non-coding RNA, 189 nt
Filed under: uncultured Inocybe
Lineage: Eukaryota; Fungi; Basidiomycota; Agaricomycetes; Agaricales; Cortinariaceae
Description: sequence contains ITS2
Source: RNAcentral
AAAGUUCUCAACUGCAUACAUUAUCAAUGGAUGUGGCUUGGAUGUGGGGGUCAUCUUGCAGGCUUCUCUCUGAAGUCGUCUGCUCCCCUGAAAUGCAUUAGUGGUAUCUGAGCUACUUUACAGAUGUGAUAAUUAUCUACAUCAAAGUAUGCUGCACACUGCUUCCUAACGAGUUUUGAAAUUUGAUGA